Zingiber officinale is the source of this 3863-nucleotide RNA transcript. It is a transcript of the gene named protein NLP1-like, with no coding region annotated. NCBI's taxonomy places the organism in Eukaryota, Viridiplantae, Streptophyta, Magnoliopsida, Zingiberales, Zingiberaceae. The record is from RefSeq and is a predicted model, not a curated record. The transcript is spliced from 5 exons.
GUUUUCUCCACUAGAUUUUCUACUUUCCUACGCGCAAUUUGGCUCCGAGUUGGAGGUAGACGAACCAGCCGCCGGAGCGAAUUCGUCAAAGGCUCGCCUUCGAUCCACCGUCUGCGUUCUCCUUGGCUUGCUCCGGUGGUUGGUGUUUCCGAUUUCCCCCGCUUUGGAUUCUUCCGUUGUCGAUUAGAGAGCGAGCUCGGUAGAUGAUCUGUUGAUGCUUCUGUGGUCUUGAUUGCAAACAGAUACAAAUUCGUCUCUUUGCUUAUUGGCAACUUGGCGCAUCCUCUGGUGGUCAGUUAUUGAGGUACGGAUUCAGUAGGUUUUCCUUGCUGGGGGUCGAAGCGAUUUGGCUGAUGGAUGCCGUUCCUGAGAGUUCACCGGCGCGAAAUCUCUCUGAUGGGGCUGCCGAUUUGGAUUUUCUGGAUCAGUUUUUCUCUGGAGAUGGCUGGUUGGAAUUUCCUGAAUUCCUUGAUGAAUUCCAAUCUGAUACGCCUAAAGCCAUCAGCCCCUUCAACCCUAUGAGCUUUUCGCCGCUUUUUGAGGUCAACGAUAACAACCCUAAUCCGAGUAUGCUGGAGACCUGUUAUCGAGAAGGCAUAGGGAGGCCAGAUGCAUCUACGUGUCUUCCCGGGGAUGAAUCCAUGAACGAGAAUCUAACCUCGGAGACAAGAACGAGUUGGCAGAUUCAACCAGGGGCUUCCAGUUUCUCUGUGGAAGAGAAAAUCGUACGGGUACUUGAUCACUUCAAGGAGAUUCAAAGGGAUGGAGAAGUACUAGUUCAGUUAUGGGUGCCUGUGAAGAGAGGAGACCAAAUGUUUCUUACAACGUACGGUCAACCUUUCUCACUCGACCCGAAUUGUGAGAGACUUGUAAACUAUCGACAAGUCUCCACCAGCUAUCAGUUCUCAGCCGAAGAGAGCUCUGGAAAGGCAUUAGGGUUGCCUGGUCGAGUAUUUAUAGGAAGAUUGCCUGAGUGGACACCAGAUGUUCGAUACUUUAACAGCUAUGAGUACCCACGUGUGGACUAUGCACAGCGGUUUGGAAUACGUGGAAGUAUAGGAAUUCCUGUUUUUGAUCAUGGUCGUCGUUCUUGCUUGGGAGUUGUGGAAGUUAUCAUGACAACUCAGAAAAUAAACUACACGUUUGAGCUUGAGAAAAUUUGCAAUGCUCUGCAGGAAGUAGAUCUUAGUAGUUCUUCAACAGUGAUUGUUCCACAGAUUAAGGUGAGUAGUGAUUCUUACCAAGCAGCUGUAUCUGAGAUUCUGGAGGUCCUAAAAACUGUUUGCAAGAUUCACAUGUUACCAUUAGCUCAAACUUGGGUACUAUGCACACAACAAGGUAAGAAAGGCUUCCGCCAUUCUGAUGAAAACUAUAGGGAAUGUGUCUCCACUGCUGAUGCUGCUUGUUAUGUAAAUGACCCUUCUAUGAUUGAUUUUUAUGAGGCCUGCUCCGAGUAUCACUUGCUAAAAGGACAAGGUAUUGUUGGUAGAGCUUUCAUCACAAAUCAACCAUGCUUUUUUCCGGAUGUUACCACUUUCAGUAAGACAGAGUAUCCGCUUGUUCACCAUGCAAAGUUGUUUGGUUUGAAAGGUGCUGUUGCGAUACGCCUUCGGAGUAUUCUUACUGGAAAUGCUGAUUUUGUAUUGGAGUUCUUUCUCCCUACAAAUUGCUUACUGAUUGAAGACCAAAAACUGAUGCUUGCUUCAUUAUCAAGAACUAUGCAACAUGUUUGCCAAAAUUUAAGGGUUGUCACCAAUAAGGAGCUAGCAGAUGAUUCGACAUUAUGGGUAAAUAAAAUGAUUCCUCCAAACUUUUUGAUGGAAAGUUCUUCGCCUGAAGCAGAACCAGGUAAAAUAGAUCACACUGUCACUACUAUUGAAGGUCAGAUAACAAGGAUGUCUAGGGAUGUUGCACCUUUAUCAAAUACAGAAGGAGGCUUGAAGAAAAAAACAAGCCAAGAUGAUCAUAAGGAUGAAAUAGAAAGAUUUGGUAUCAUAAGGGACAGAGAUGAUGUUGAAGUGAUAUCAAAUGCACUAAAUAUAUCUUCAAUGCAUAAGCAGCAUCCAGUAGACAUGGGCAAAGAUGAUAGUGAUAAUGAAAAUUCUAUGAAUUUUGGUAGUAGUAGUAAUCCGGUGGUGGCAAAGACAACAGCAAAGAGGCACAGAAAACCAGAGAAGAAUGUCAGUUUGGAAGUUCUUCAGAAAUAUUUUUCUGGUAGCCUGAAAGAUGCUGCAAAGAGUGUCGGUGUGUGCCCUACUACUCUUAAAAGAAUCUGUCGGCAGCAUGGAAUAACUCGUUGGCCUUCCCGGAAGAUAAAGAAAGUAGACCACUCUUUAAAGAAACUGCAGGUUGUUAUUGACUCAGUUCAUGGAGCUGAUAAAGCCAUUCAACUAAGUUCCCUGUAUAAAAAUUUCACAACAGUACCCAUCUCAGAGAAGAAUUCAUCAGGAGACUCUCAAGAUAGAAACUCAGGAGAUUUUCCAGUAUCAAAAUCGAUCCAAAAUGACUGUCCAAAUAGUAAUCAGGACGUAGAUGCUAGAUCAAGUCAUCACCAUUCAUCAUCUUCUCACUCAUCAUGCAGUCAAACUUCGACUCCAAGUCUCUCAUCUCCAGGUGGAGAAAAGCACUGUAUUCAGAUUGCUAACCCUGGAAUGAAGCAAGAAGAAAACCAUGAGAAAAUUAGUGGUAUUCCUCAGGGAGCAAAUAGGGAGAUGGAUUUGCAUCUGUCAUCUCAAAGCACAUGGAUUUAUCCUAAUGAAUUUCAGAGUCACAAAUCACUUGGAGAGCAUUAUUCUACUUUGGAGCCUACUGGAAAUCUUAAAAGCAAUUGGAUGAUAGUAAAAGCCACAUAUGGUGAAGAGAAAGCUAGGAUACGAUUAGAUCCUAGUUGGAACUUUGAAGAGUUGAGACAUGAGAUCUUGAAGAGGUUCAAUAUAGUUGUUGAAAAUUCUGUGAAUCUCCAUUACGUCGAUGAUGAGUCGGAGUGGGUUUUACUAACAUGUGAUGCAGAUCUACAGGAGUGCAUUCAUAUAUAUAGAUUGUCAGAUGUUCAAACAAUAAAAAUUUCUGUCCAAGAAAUUGUUACUCAUGGACCAUAGCAUCUCCAUGUAACAUCUGAUGGAGUUCAUCAUUUGGAGGCCAAUCUGCUUUCUUCCAGCUAUGGAAUUUUUCAAUGAUGGCCUGAUCUUAGCAAUGAUCUGUGACCAUGUAUCUAUCAGUGUGGAUUGUUGGCCAUGGACUCUCAAACACAUGCAAUGCUCCAUGCUGAAAUGCUAAUGCUCAUUGAGACCGUCCUGAAUAUGAAACAAAGUAGCACGCUGAUACAAAAAGUGAAUUGAUCGCUUAAAAAGAAUUUUAUGGAAUUAACUAUUCUUCUAACAACUUACAAGAUAGAUUCCUUAUGCUCAUUCUCAAGGGGAAAGACUUGUUAACAAUGUAUAAAGAUCAAAGGCAAAAUAAACUAUAGAUGCAAUGGGUUUCACAUUUAUCAUGCUUGCAUCCCGAUUAAAGAUCCAAUUGGUUGUUAGCAUGAACUUUGACAGACAAUUACAGAGAUUGUUGGAUGUUUAGUGUGCUCCAUUGAUUCAAGAUCAACAAACUCCAGAGUCAUGAUGGUAAGCAGAAAAAAUAACAUCCUCAAAAAGGAUCUGAACAGAUGCUAAUACUGGCUACUGGCAAGGUUACAGACUAUGAAUGAGUAAUUCCAAAUCAACAGUUAUCCAAAUUCAAACGCAGUGGAGUAUUGCUCAGUUUUGUGCAAUAAUUUAUCUUGAUGCAAUGUUAAUACUUUUGUUUAAGUUUUGCCAACCAAAAUCUGAGCUCUAGUUUGGUAGCUUGAUUGAGACAUGGAGUUUGAGAAAUGC